This 442-nucleotide ribosomal RNA is filed under the name uncultured bacterium. RNAcentral describes it as "partial 16S ribosomal RNA". It matches the Rfam family "Bacterial small subunit ribosomal RNA", at positions 338 to 795 of the family's 1533-position model. The record is from RNAcentral.
CCUACGGGAGGCAGCAGUAGGGAAUCUUUCACAAUGGGCGAAAGCCUGAUGGAGCAACGCCGCGUGCAGGAUGAAGGCCUUCGGGUUGUAAACUGCUUUUAUAUGCGAGAAAUAUGAUGGUAACUUAUGAAUAAGGAUCGGCUAACUACGUGCCAGCAGCCGCGGUCAUACGUAGGAUCCGAGCAUUAUCCGGAGUGACUGGGUGUAAAGAGUUGCGUAGGUGGCAUAAUAAGUAGCUAGUGAAAUCUGGUGGCUCAACCAUUCAGACUAUUAGCUAAACUGUUAAGCUCGAGACCGUUAGGGGUAACUGGAAUUUCUAGUGUAGGAGUGAAAUCCGUAGAUAUUAGAAGGAACACCAAUAGCGUAGGCAGGUUGCUGGGACGGUUCUGACACUAAGGUACGAAAGCGUAGGGAGCAAACGGGAUUAGAUACCCUUGUAGUC